This 337-nucleotide long non-coding RNA is filed under the name Solanum lycopersicum (tomato). Its description in RNAcentral is "long non-coding RNA (SLYC_LNC001397)". Lineage: Eukaryota; Viridiplantae; Streptophyta; Magnoliopsida; Solanales; Solanaceae. The record is from RNAcentral.
AUUAGUAAUGGGAUCAAGGCCUUAUAGUAAAGGAAUUUGUGAAGGUAUAGAAACAGUACUAAAAAGUAUGAAGGCAGGUGGAAAAAGAAGAGUGAUAAUUCCUCCAAAUUUGGGAUUUGGAGAAGAAGGAGCAGAUUUAGGAACAGGGCUGCAAAUUCCUCCAUCUGCUACUCUUGAGUAUGUUGUUGAAGUUGAAAAAGUUUCUAUUGCACCUGCUUGAUUGAAGGUAUACAAAUAAAUAGUAUAACUUCAAGUGUUUGCUACUAAAGGAAAAUGCAAAACAGUUGAUUCUUGUACUGUUCUUUAGUUGACAAGAAAGAUGUGUGGAAGUUUGAUU